RNAcentral lists this ribosomal RNA (498 nucleotides) under uncultured soil bacterium. Its description in RNAcentral is "bacterial SSU rRNA". It matches the Rfam family "Bacterial small subunit ribosomal RNA", at positions 94 to 633 of the family's 1533-position model. The record is from RNAcentral.
AGUGGCGCACGGGUGAGUAGCGCGUGGGAACCUGCCCUGUUGUGGGGGAUAACCGAGGGAAACUUCGGCUAAUACCGCGUGCGCCCCUGCAAGAAAGAUUCGCAGCAGGAGGGGCCCGCGUCGGAUUAGCUAGUUGGUGGGGUAACGGCCUACCAAGGCGGCGAUCCGUAGCUGGUCUGAGAGGAUGAUCAGCCACACUGGGACUGAGACACGGCCCAGACUCCUACGGGAGGCAGCAGUGGGGAAUAUUGGACAAUGGGCGCAAGCCUGAUCCAGCAAUGCCGCGUGAGUGAUGAAGGCCUUCGGGUUGUAAAGCUCUUUCGGCGGGGACGAUUGACGGUACCCGCAGAAGAAGCCCCGGCUAACUUCGUGCCAGCAGCCGCGGUAAUACGAAGGGGGCGAGCGUUGUUCGGAUUUACUGGGCGUAAAGGGCGCGUAGGCGGCGGACCGUGUCGAGUGUGAAAGCCCCGGGCUCAACCUGGGAGGUGCGCUUGAGAC